ACUCAAAGGAAUAGACGGGGACCCGCACAAGCGGUGGAGCAUGUGGUUUAAUUCGAAGAUACGCGAAGAACCUUACCGAGGCUUGACAUCCCAGGAAAGCUCUAGAAACAGAGCCGUGCCGCAAGGAACCUGGUGACAGGUGCUGCAUGGCCGUCGUCAGCUCGUGUCGUGAGAUGUUGGGUUAAGUCCCGCAACGAGCGCAACCCUUGUUGUCUGUUGUAUUUUUCAGGCAAGACUGCCCCGGCCAACGGGGAGGAAGGUGGGGAUGACGUCAGGUCAGCAUGGCCCUUACGCCUCGGGCUACACACGUGCUACAAUGGCCGGCACAACGCGUUGCCAACCCGCAAGGGGGAGCUAAUCGCAUCAAAACCGGUCUCAGUUCGGAUUGAGGGCUGCAACUCGCCCCCAUGAAGCUGGAAUCGCUAGUAACCGUAGGUCAGCAUACUACGGUGAAUACGUUCCCGGGUCUUGCACACACCGCCCGU
Molecule: ribosomal RNA, 485 nt
Filed under: uncultured bacterium
Lineage: Bacteria
Description: partial 16S ribosomal RNA
Rfam family: Bacterial small subunit ribosomal RNA
Source: RNAcentral